Molecule: ribosomal RNA, 256 nt
Filed under: uncultured bacterium
Lineage: Bacteria
Description: partial 16S ribosomal RNA
Rfam family: Bacterial small subunit ribosomal RNA
Source: RNAcentral
AGAAGCAAGAUAGUGAUAUCAAGCAAAACUGAAAAAAGCGGUCUCGGUUCGGAUUGAAGGCUGAAAUUCGCCUUCAUGAAGUCGGAAUUGCUAGUAAUGGCAGGUCAGCAUACUGCCGUGAAUACGUUCCCGGGUCUUGUACACACCGCCCGUCACACCAUGGGAGUCGGAUAUGCCCGAAGCCGGUGACCUAACCGCAAGGAAGGAGCCGUCGAAGGUGGAGCCGAUGACUGGGGUGAAGUCGUAACAAGGUACC